UAUUAAUAUAGUUAUAAAUUUCUAUUUAUAAAGUUCUUUAUGUUACUUUUUAAAAAAUACAUUUUAUAGAAGAUUGAUUUUUUUAGUUUUGUUAUCCAAAGAGAGAUUUUUUAUUAGUUCUGGCGAAGCCUGUGCCAGCCGCCGCGGUUACACAGGGGGGGCACAGAAAUUGAGUUGAAGUAAAAAAAUUUUUUUUUCUAUGGUAACUAUUUAGGUGAAAUUUAUAGUUGGGGUUUAUAAUUUGAUUUUUAGAAAUUUUUGGUUUAAACUAGGAUUAGAUACCCUAUUAUGAAAUAUGAGAGAUUGGUAGUAGUUAGUUAUAUGAAAUCUAAAGAUUAUGGCGGUAUUCUAAGCUUUUUAGAGGAAUUUAUUCUAUAAUUGAUAAGACACAAGGAUCUUACUUAAUUUGGUUAAGCAGUUUGUAUAUCGCUAUCAUUUAAUAAUUUUGAAUAAUGAUUAUUGAAAUAAAUUUUUAUUUUGAAUGUUAGGUCAAAAUGCAGCUAAAAAUUUAGUUUGAAAUAAGUUACAUUGAUUAAUAUCGGGGAAAUUGAAAUAUUUGUUAGGAUUUAAUAGUAAAUUGGAAUUAUAAUGUUUGGUUGAAUAGAGCUCUAGAAUAUGUACAUAUCGCCCGUCACUCUCAGUAUGAGAUAAGUCGUAACAAAGUAAGGGUACCGGAAGGUGUCUU
This 685-nucleotide non-coding RNA is filed under the name Ornithodoros tholozani. The record is from RNAcentral. Lineage: Eukaryota; Metazoa; Arthropoda; Arachnida; Ixodida; Argasidae.